This 490-nucleotide ribosomal RNA is filed under the name uncultured bacterium. Its description in RNAcentral is "partial 16S ribosomal RNA". It matches the Rfam family "Bacterial small subunit ribosomal RNA", at positions 29 to 523 of the family's 1533-position model. The record is from RNAcentral.
AAUGAACGUUGGCGGCAUGGAUUAGGCAUGCAAGUCGAGCGAGAAGGGUUUUGAAGCUUGCUUUAGAACCCGGAAAGCGGCGAAAGGGAGAGUAACGAGUAGUUAUCUACCCCAAGGCCCGGAAUAGCUGCGGGAAACUGCAGGUAAUGCCGGAUAAUAUCCCCGGAUCAAAGGUGUGAUUCCGCCUUGGGAGGAGACUGCUUUGUACUAGCUUGUUGGUAGGGUAAUGGCCUACCAAGGCUACGAUGCAUAGCGGGCGUGAGAGCGUAGCCCGUCUCACUGGGACUGAAACACUGCCCAGACACCUACGGGUGGCUGCAGUCGAGAAUCUUCGGCAAUGGGCGAAAGCCUGACCGAGCGAUGCCGCGUGCGGGAUGAAGGCCCUCGGGUUGUAAACCGCUGUCGUAGAGGAGAAAGGUCUCGUGAAGAGCGAGAUUUGAUCUAUUCUAGGAGGAAGUCAGGGCUAAGUUCGUGCCAGCAGCCGCCGCAG